CACGUAGGGGGCGAGCGUUGUCCGGAUUUAUUGGGCGUAAAGAGCUCGUAGGCGGCUCAGUAAGUCAGGUGUGAAAACUCCAGGCUCAACCUGGAGACGCCACCUGAUACUGCUGUGGCUAGAGUCCGGUAGGGGAGCAUGGAAUUCCUGGUGUAGCGGUGAAAUGCGCAGAUAUCAGGAGGAACACCAGUGGCGAAGGCGGUGCUCUGGGCCGGCACUGACGCUGAGGAGCGAAAGCGUGGGGAGCGAACAGG
This 254-nucleotide ribosomal RNA is filed under the name uncultured bacterium. RNAcentral's name for it is "partial 16S ribosomal RNA". It matches the Rfam family "Bacterial small subunit ribosomal RNA", at positions 524 to 776 of the family's 1533-position model. The record is from RNAcentral.